Molecule: ribosomal RNA, 445 nt
Filed under: uncultured bacterium
Lineage: Bacteria
Description: bacterial SSU rRNA
Rfam family: Bacterial small subunit ribosomal RNA
Source: RNAcentral
CUACGGGAGGCAGCAGUGGGGAAUAUUGCACAAUGGGCGCAAGCCUGAUGCAGCGACGCCGCGUGGGGGAUGACGGCCUUCGGGUUGUAAACCUCUUUCAAUAGGGACGAAGCGCGAGUGACGGUACCUAUAGAAGAAGCACCGGCCAACUACGUGCCAGCAGCCGCGGUAAUACGUAGGGUGCGAGCGUUGUCCGGAAUUACUGGGCGUAAAGAGCUCGUAGGUGGUUUGUCGCGUUGUCCGUGAAAUCUCACAGCUUAACUGUGAGCGUGCGGGCGAUACGGGCAGACUGGAGUACUGCAGGGGAGACUGGAAUUCCUGGUGUAGCGGUGAAAUGCGCAGAUAUCAGGAGGAACACCGGUGGCGAAGGCGGGUCUCUGGGUAGUAACUGACGCUGAGGAGCGAAAGCGUGGGGAGCAAACAGGAUUAGAUACCCUAGUAGUCC